RNAcentral lists this ribosomal RNA (400 nucleotides) under uncultured bacterium. RNAcentral's name for it is "partial 16S ribosomal RNA". It matches the Rfam family "Bacterial small subunit ribosomal RNA", at positions 523 to 918 of the family's 1533-position model. The record is from RNAcentral.
AUACGUAGGGGGCGAGCGUUGUCCGGAAUGAUUGGGCGUAAAGGGCGCGUAGGCGGCCUGGUAAGUCUGAAGUGAAAGUCCCGCUUUCAAGGUGGGAAUUGCUUUGGAUACUGCUGGGUAUCUAGAGUGCUGGAGAGGUAAGUGGAAUUCCCAGUGUAGCGGUGAAAUGCGUAGAGAUUGGGAGGAACACCAGUGGCGAAGGCGACUUACUGGACUGUAACUGACGCUGAGGCGCGAAAGUGUGGGGAGCAAACAGGAUUAGAUACCCUGGUAGUCCACACUGUAAACGAUGAAUGCUAGGUGUAGGGGGUAUCGACCCCUUCUGUGCCGCAGUUAACACAAUAAGCAUUCCGCCUGGGGAGUACGGCCGCAAGGUUGAAACUCAAAUGAAUUGACGGGG